This 243-nucleotide long non-coding RNA is filed under the name Gossypium barbadense (sea-island cotton). RNAcentral's name for it is "long non-coding RNA (GBAR_LNC002495)". Lineage: Eukaryota; Viridiplantae; Streptophyta; Magnoliopsida; Malvales; Malvaceae. The record is from RNAcentral.
UGAAAUAAGGCAAUAUCUAAUAUUUGGGGAAUUCGGAAAAUCGUGCUCAAUUGUACUGGGUAUGACUUUUUCGAUGAACUAAAUAUUUGGAUAACCUUUUUUAUAAUUUAGUGUACGAGUUUUCAAAAGUCAAAAUUCCAUCGUAUUCUUAAAGGUAUAAAGGAUCGUAUUCAAUCGUGCUGGGUAUGAUACCGCAUAUUUUUGAAACGAGAGAAUUUUGACCGCUAAUUUAACUAUUCAAAC